AACGAACGCUGGCGGCAGGCUUAACACAUGCAAGUCGAACGGGAUCUUCGGAUCUAGUGGCAGACGGGUGAGGAACACGUGGGAACAUCCCUUUCAGUUCGGAAUAACGUUGGGAAACUAACGCUAAUACCGGAUACGUCCUUCGGGAGAAAGAUUUAUCGCUGAAAGAUUGGCCCGCGUCUGAUUAGCUAGUCGGUGAGGUAACGGCUCACCAAGGCUACGAUCAGUAGCUGAUCUGAGAGGAUGAUCAGCCACAUUGGGACUGAGACACGGCCCAAACUCCUACGGGAGGCAGCAGUGGGGAAUAUUGGACAAUGGGCGCAAGCUUGAUCCAGCCAUGCCGCGUGAGUGAUGACGGCCUUCGGGUUGUAAAGCUCUUUUGUCCGGGAAGAUAAUGACUGUACCGGAAGAAUAAGCCCCGGCAAACUUCGUGCCAGCAGCCGCCGUAA
Molecule: ribosomal RNA, 449 nt
Filed under: uncultured bacterium
Lineage: Bacteria
Description: partial 16S ribosomal RNA
Rfam family: Bacterial small subunit ribosomal RNA
Source: RNAcentral